AACUCUUAGUGGUGGAUCACUCGGCUCGUGCGUCGAUGAAGAACGCAGCUAGCUGCGAGAACUAUUGUGAAUUGCAGGACACAUUGAUCAUCGACACUUCGAACGCACCUUGCGGCCCUGGGAGGAACCCGGGGCCACGCCUGUCUGAGGGUCG
This is a ribosomal RNA of 154 nucleotides. It matches the Rfam family "5.8S ribosomal RNA". Rfam says of the family: 5.8S ribosomal RNA (5.8S rRNA) is a component of the large subunit of the eukaryotic ribosome. The record is from Ensembl.